This 328-nucleotide unclassified non-coding RNA is filed under the name soil metagenome. RNAcentral's name for it is "partial contains 5.8S ribosomal RNA, internal transcribed spacer 2, and large subunit ribosomal RNA". The stretch from base 1 to 120 matches the Rfam family "5.8S ribosomal RNA", at positions 35 to 154 of the family's 154-position model. The record is from RNAcentral.
GAUGAAGAACGCAGCGAAAUGCGAUAAGUAAUGUGAAUUGCAGAAUUCAGUGAAUCAUCGAAUCUUUGAACGCACAUUGCGCCCCUUGGUAUUCCGAGGGGCAUGCCUAUUCGAGCGUCAUUAUCACCCCUCAAGCUCCGGCUUGGUGUUGAGGCCUGCUGUAAAGGCACCCUCUAAAAUCAGUGGCAGUGCUGUCAGGCUCUAAGCGUAGUAAUUCUCUCGCUACAGGGUCCCGGUGGACACUCGCCAGAACCCCCCCAUUUUUUAAUGAUUGACCUCGGAUUAGGUAGGGAUACCCGCUGAACUUAAGCAUAUCAAUAACGGAGGA